GAUGAACGCUGGCGGCGUGCCUAAUACAUGCAAGUCGAGCGAACAGACGAGGAGCUUGCUCCUCUUACGUUAGCGGCGGACGGGUGAGUAACACGUGGAUAACCUACCUAUAAGACUGGGAUAACUUCGGGAAACCGGAGCUAAUACCGGAUAAUAUAUUGAACCGCAUGGUUCAAUAUUGAAAGACGGUUUUGCUGUCACUUAUAGAUGGAUCCGCGCCGCAUUAGCUAGUUGGUAAGGUAACGGCUUACCAAGGCAACGAUGAGUAGCCGACCUGAGAGGGUGAUCGGCCAAACUGGAACUGAGACACGGUCCAGACUCCUACGGGAGGAAGCAGUAGGGAAUCUUCCGCAAUGGGCGAAAGCCUGACGGAGCAACGCCGCGUGAGUGAUGAAGGUCUUCGGAUCGUAAAACUCUGUUAUUAGGGAAGAACAAAUGUGUAAGUAACUAUGCACGUCUUGACGGUACCUAAUCAGAAAGCCACGGCUAACUACGUG
Molecule: ribosomal RNA, 497 nt
Filed under: uncultured bacterium
Lineage: Bacteria
Description: partial 16S ribosomal RNA
Rfam family: Bacterial small subunit ribosomal RNA
Source: RNAcentral